Molecule: transfer RNA, 49 nt
Filed under: Procolobus verus (olive colobus)
Lineage: Eukaryota; Metazoa; Chordata; Mammalia; Primates; Cercopithecidae
Description: partial tRNA-Leu
Source: RNAcentral
ACUUUUAAAGGAUAACAGCUAUCCGUUGGUCUUAGGAACCAAAAAUAUU